AGAUUACUAGCAAUAAAAAGAUGUCCGAGAUUCUUAUUCCUAUUCAUCCUAUUACUAAGAAUGUGUUAUUCCUGUGUUUGGUUUGCACGGUUAUAUUAUUUAGUCAUAUUAUUUAAGCUUACAAAAAAUAUACAACUAAUUUAUUUAUUUCUUUAAUUAAUUUUAGAUAAUGCCACCAAAAAUAUCAACAUCUUUUUAGAAAAAGGGAGAGAGAGAACAUAGGUUAGAGAGAGAGAGCAUAAUUAAAGAAAUAAGAAGAGAAAUAGAGUUGAGAUUAGAGGGAGUGAGAGAGUUGAGAUUUUAGAAAAAGAGGGGAAAAGAGAGCUUAGUUUAGAGAGAGAAAAAGAGUUGAAGUUUAGAGAGAAAAAAUAGGUUUAGAGAGAGAUAUGAGGUUAGAGUGUAAAGAAAAAUAAUACCAACUAGCCGGCGGCGGAUAGAGAGAAAGAAAGAGAUUAGACAUAUUAUGAUUAUCCCAAUCCAUUAAUAUGAUGAUACUCACCCUCCCUCAAGGGAAUGAAAUUAGUACUUUGGGAUUAAUCUUAUUCCCAAGUAAAUCUAAUAUUACCAACUAGAUUAAUUAGUGCGUUUAGCCAAACACCGUCAUAUUUUGUUAUUCCUUUUGGAUUAUUAGGAAUCUUAAAAAGAUAGCGCGAACCAAACGCACCCUUAGAGUUACGGAGUUUGAUCGAAUAUUAUAUUAUUACUUUGAUGAUCUUUCUU
This 720-nucleotide long non-coding RNA is filed under the name Ananas comosus (pineapple). RNAcentral describes it as "long non-coding RNA (ACOM_LNC034101)". The record is from RNAcentral. Lineage: Eukaryota; Viridiplantae; Streptophyta; Magnoliopsida; Poales; Bromeliaceae.